RNAcentral lists this ribosomal RNA (465 nucleotides) under uncultured bacterium. Its description in RNAcentral is "partial 16S ribosomal RNA". It matches the Rfam family "Bacterial small subunit ribosomal RNA", at positions 338 to 795 of the family's 1533-position model. The record is from RNAcentral.
CCUACGGGUGGCAGCAGUGGGGAAUAUUGCGCAAUGAGCGAAAGCCUGACGCAGCGACGCCGCGUGAGGGAUGAAGAUCUUCGGAUCGUUAACCUCUGUCAGCAGGGAAGAACGGUCCCUGUGCUAAUCAGCCUUGACUUUACGGUACCUGCAAAGGCAGCACCGUCUCACUCCGUGCCAGCAGCCGCGGUAAUACGGAGGGUGCGAGCGUUAAUCGGAAUUACUGGGCGUAAAGAGGUCGUAGGCGGUAUGUCAAGUCAAGGGGGAAAUCCCCGCGCUCAACGUGGGAACUGACGUUGAAACUGGCAAACUGGAGUGUGUGAGAGGUGAGUGGAAUUCCAGGUGUAGGAGUGAAAUCCGUAGAUAUCUGGAGGAACACCAGUGGCGAAGGCGACGAUCUGGCACAUAACUGACGCUGAGGAGCGAAAGCGUGGGUAGCAAACAGGAUUAGAUACCCUUGUAGUC